RNAcentral lists this long non-coding RNA (1359 nucleotides) under Gallus gallus (chicken). RNAcentral describes it as "lncRNA (ENSGALG00010003445.1)". The record is from RNAcentral. Lineage: Eukaryota; Metazoa; Chordata; Aves; Galliformes; Phasianidae.
AGGGAAGAUAUGCGGAGGGAGGGCAGGUUGUCUGAGGAGGGGGAGUGAGCAAACAACUUCAUGGUGCUUAGUUACCCCUGGGGUGAAAUUACAACACAUGUAGAUAGUUGUUGGAAGUUUGACUUCUGACAUCAGGUCUACUGGAAACACCUGAGGGAGUAGGGGGAUGAAGUGCACUGUGUAAGAGAGGCGGAAUACUUGUAAUGCAGGUACCAUAUCAAGGUUUUUUUCUUGUGGUAUUAAAACAGCGACUGAAAAAAGUAUUUUGUUGUCGUGGGGGGGAAACGUGGGUUUAUUACAAGUGCUCAAUCACUUCAGCUGACGGAAUGUGUCCCAUUUUUUUCAGGUAACAUUACAUGGAACCAAUAAUCUUUUCUGUCUUGCAGGAGGCAGCUGCAUAGCCAGCAGGGCUGGGCUGCUGCUUGUGAGGUCACCUCACUGCAACACUGGGCUUGGCCACGAGCAGGCGGGCAGUGAGAGAGCAUUGGGAAGAGCAGCUGAGAAAGCUGCAUGCAGGGGCCUGGGCCCUGGUGAGGCCCUGCCUGAGUGACACUGCCGGGAUGUGGGGGAGUAGGGGAUGAGGCAUGGACACUGCCCAGGGUGGUAGUGGGGUGAGAAGGGAGCAGAGGGGCACUGCCCCGUGGGGGGAGAGAGUGGUGUGAGAAGGGAGCAGAGAUAAAGCAGUGCUGUUAGGAGCAGCAGUAUCUCACACACUGUUGAAGGGUACACAGAGGAGAAAUAGCCAGCCUAGGGGUGACACCUUCUUGGCUGAUCUCUCAUUUUAUGGGGCUCCAGUCACUGUCCACCCUGGGCAUUCACAGUCCGUGGAGAACGUGUAGGCUCUCCACACAGCUCCACGUUCUUUUCCUGGGGAAUGUCCCUGCCACACGUGGGACAGCCAUGGGGGUAUAGCUGACUGACCAAUCACCAUCUCCACUGUCAUCAGGUGCCACUCAGUCAUAAACCCUAAUCUCAGUCUGUCACAGUGAGCAGUUGAAACAUUGUGCAAGUGCUCUGGUUGUACAGAGCUGCAAAUCCAAUCUCACCUACUGUCAGUGCAUCCAUUCAGCUACAAAAUCCCCUGAAUUCUUCUCCCUUUGGUCUUGCCUUCUGUUGAACAGAAGAGCACUAACAGGAGAGCUGUGUCCCAGCUGGAGAUACGUGGUAGCUACUUUGUGGGCCCAGGUGGUGGUGGUACGUGUGUUGUGCCUGUUCUGGUGCUCAGAGGAGAUGCUUGUGUUUUCAUUUGGUCUCACUGGGAUGAGCCACUCCCUGUUUUGUCCCCUGACCAAGCAUAUUUGAGUUCUCUUGUUCUUUGGAGGGUCUGUAUCUCCUUUCUGGGUCUUAGGCCCAUUCUCG